AGCUUUGUGCAGUGGCAGUAUUGUAGCCAAUGAGGUUUAUCCGAGGCGCGAUUAUUGCUAAUUGAAAACAACCACUAAUUUAU
This 83-nucleotide small nuclear RNA is filed under the name Balaenoptera musculus (blue whale). RNAcentral describes it as "U4 spliceosomal RNA (ENSBMSG00010009015.1)". It matches the Rfam family "U4 spliceosomal RNA", at positions 1 to 83 of the family's 138-position model. From Rfam's summary of the family: U4 small nuclear RNA (U4 snRNA) is a component of the major U2-dependent spliceosome. The structure of U4 snRNA from yeast and human has been reported. The record is from Rfam by way of RNAcentral. Lineage: Eukaryota; Metazoa; Chordata; Mammalia; Artiodactyla; Balaenopteridae.